UACGGGGGGGGCAAGCGUUGUUCGGAAUUACUGGGCGUAAAGGGCUCGUAGGCGGCCAACUAAGUCAGACGUGAAAUCCCUCGGCUUAACCGGGGAACUGCGUCUGAUACUGGUUGGCUUGAGUUCGGGAGAGGGAUGCGGAAUUCCAGGUGUAGCGGUGAAAUGCGUAGAUAUCUGGAGGAACACCGGUGGCGAAGGCGGCAUCCUGGACCGAUACUGACGCUGAGGAGCGAAAGCCAGGGGAGCAAACGGG
RNAcentral lists this ribosomal RNA (253 nucleotides) under uncultured bacterium. Its description in RNAcentral is "partial 16S ribosomal RNA". It matches the Rfam family "Bacterial small subunit ribosomal RNA", at positions 524 to 776 of the family's 1533-position model. The record is from RNAcentral.